RNAcentral lists this long non-coding RNA (2939 nucleotides) under Homo sapiens (human). RNAcentral's name for it is "HSALNT0298362". Lineage: Eukaryota; Metazoa; Chordata; Mammalia; Primates; Hominidae. The record is from RNAcentral.
CUCAUCAUGAACAAAACCAAGGCAGACAACACUGUCAUUAAUGGAGCUUAUCAUGUAAUACGGAAGCCUGGGAUAAGCAACAAAUUACACAAGUGACAAAUGUGAUGAGUGCUGUGAAGCAGAGUGCGGGGUGCCCAGGGAAUCAGCAGAGCCCUGGAGGAUAACAGCCUGAGCUCCAGGAAGGAAGGUUGUGGUGGUGCUUAGGGUCAGAGUGGGGACAAGCAUUCCAAGCAAAGGGAAAAGCACAUACACAUGCUAUAUUAGUCAGGUUUCUCUAGAGGGACAGAACUAACAGGAUAGAUGUAUAAAUGAGGGGGAGCUUAUUAAGUAGUAUUGACUUGCAUGAGCACAAGGUGAAGUCCCACAAUAGGCUGUCUGCAAGCCGAAGAGCAGGGAAGCCAGUCCGAGUCCCCAAACCUCAAAAGUAGGGAAGCUGACAGUGCAGCCUUCUGAAGGCCCCAGAGCCCCCGGCAAACUGCUGGUGUAAAUCCAAGAGUCCAAAAGCUGAAGAACUUGGAGUCUGUUGUUCGAGGGCAGGAAGUAUCCAGCACGAGAGAAUGAUGAAGGCUGGAAGACUCAGCAAGUCUACUCCUUCCAUGUUCCUCUGUGUGCUUUUAUUCUGGCUGUGCUGGCAGCUGAUUAGAUGGUGCCCGCCCAGAUUGAGGGUGGGUCUGCCUCUCCCAGUCCACUGACUCAAAAGUUAAUAUCUUUGGCAACACCCUCACAGACACAUCCAGGAACAAUAGUUUGCAUCCUUCAAUCUAAUCAAGUUGACACCUAAUAUUAACCAUCAUACAUCCCCUCCAUGGGAAGGAGCAUGAUGCCUUAUAUAGUCUACUACCCUCAAACCAAUCCUACUCCCUCAUCCCCAACACCUUCUUCCCCUGGAACUCUAGAUAGAGUUUCUUGACUAGACACAUAAGCACAAUUAGGCUAUGCCUAAUUAUGAAGCCAUCCCGGUUUAUACAUUUUCUUGUUAUACUUGCCUAUUUACAAGUUUUUCUUGUGAAAACUUGCCUAUUCUUUUUGCUGCCUCCUCUCCACCCUAAAAGAGAAACUCUAAGGAAACACUCCCAGAGUUUAUUAUAGUUAUUAUGACUCAGAUUUGAAGACUAGAAUUUAAUGGAGGUUUUCCUAACAUUCCUUGGGGACUUGAAGGACUUUUUUUCCCACCAGCCACAGAAGUAAGAUUAUAAAACAUUUAUUUAUUAAAAGAAAAGAAAUCUUCUGGGCUCAAAGUUCUAGUUAUUCUAAAAGCAGAGCACUUGUUCCAUGUUUUCAUAUCGCCUCCCCACACCUACCUCUCCUCUCCCAUUCUCUAUUUCUUUAUUUCUGUGCUGUAGUAAUAAGCAAAACAGAGAAGCAAUUGGUUUUAGUCUUGGAUCUUGACCUUGCUGUGUGGCCUUGGCCAAGUCACUUCCCCUUUCUCAGCCUCAGUUUCUUCAAGUGUAAAAUGAGAGAUUGGAUGGAUCAGAAGAUUCAGGCCUCCUUGAAAAUCCCCAUGGGUGAACCCCAACACACAGGCUAUUCAGCCAGCAGCCCCAAGUCCUUUAUGAAAAGCCAAGGUUGAUUGAAACUCUCCCUUCUCAGGAGAGAAACUAGAGGCAAAGCUUCCUCAUCAGCAGAGAUAAACUUGGCAGGAGCCAAUUCAGGUAGGACCAUGGCCAACUCAGGGCUCGUGCUUGAUCGAAGGGGAUCUGUGUUAGUCAGCAUUCUCCAGAGAAAUGGAACCCAUUGGAUAGAUAUGUAAAGAGAUUUAUUAUGGGAGUUGGCUCAUGCAAUUGUGGAGUCCUAGAAGACCCACCACCUCCUGUCUGCAAGCUGGAGAAACAGCAAAGCCAGUGACGUAAUUAAGUCUGAAUCCAAAGGCAUAAGAUCAAGGAGAACUGAUGGUGUAAGUCCCAAAGUCCAAAGGCUUGAGAACCAGGAGCUCUGAUAUCUAAGGGAAGAUGUCCCAGCUCCGGAAGACAGAAUUCACCCUUCCUCUGCCUUUUGUUUUAUUUGAGCCCUCAAUGGGCUGGAUGAUGCCUAUUCACAUUGGUGAGGGUGGAUCUUCUUUACUCAGUCUACUGAUUAACACCUGUUCCAGAAACGCCCUCACAGGCACACCCAGAGAUAUUGUUUUCCCAGCUAUCUGGGCACCCCUUAGCCCAGUCAAAUCAACACAUAAAAUUAAUCAUCAUAGGCUCUAAGUUCUACUUAGCUCCAACCAGUUGGAGUCAUUUUGGAAUAAGUGUAAAGUGUUUUCAGAUAUUCUGAUCUUACAAGUGAAGCUGGAAAUUAGCAUUUUUAAGUAAAGAUGACUCAAUUAAGAAAAAACAAAAACAAAAACCAUGGCACGAGCAGAAGACGGUGCAUCAGAUUCAGGCCUGUGGUUGCUGGUUGGUUACCUGUGGGUGUAAGCAAAGUACUGGGUCCUUUCCCAUUCUAGACUAUAUUUACAAAAUCAGUAAUGCUUAGCUAUGCAUUCUUUCAUUUAACAAUUAUUUGUCAACUACCAUGAGCUGGUAUUAUGUAGAAUGCUGGUAAAAUAGAUAACUAAGACCCAACACAUGUGUAAAUGAGAAUGAGUGUGAUAUAAUCAAUGUCUCCUGGGCUAGGUGUCUCUUUUUUGCUUCCACAGCACCUGUGUAUACUUCCAUUAUGGCAUGUAACAUGCUGGCAAGAAAUUGAUUCAUUGGGUUGUGUCUUCUCAGCUGCCUGAAGAAUGAAAUCAUAUACUCUAGUUUCAUAUGCCCAGCAUUGUACACAACUUGACACAUCACAGCAGCUCUAGGAAAGCACAUAGGCUGACAACUGAGUGAACAACCCACUGACUGUGUGUCGUUCAGGGUUGGGAAAGCAAGGGCAGGUCUCUGUGCCCCAUCUCUAGCUUUUCCUCAACUUAGGCUUUAUAAACCCUUGCAUCAAAAAAUAAAAGCUAAGGCUAAUUGUUUCAA